RNAcentral lists this ribosomal RNA (238 nucleotides) under uncultured Pseudomonadota bacterium. RNAcentral describes it as "uncultured proteobacterium partial 16S ribosomal RNA". It matches the Rfam family "Bacterial small subunit ribosomal RNA", at positions 554 to 792 of the family's 1533-position model. The record is from RNAcentral. Lineage: Bacteria; Pseudomonadati; Pseudomonadota.
UUGGGUUUAAAGUGCGUAGGCGGCCCUCAUCGUCGGGCGUGAAAUUCCUGGGCUUAACCUGGGGGCUGCGUUCGAUACGUGGGGGCUUGAGUGUGGGAGAGGGUCGUGGAAUUCCCAGUGUAGAGGUGAAAUUCGUAGAUAUUGGGAAGAACACCGGUGGCGAAGGCGGCGACCUGGUCCAUGACUGACGCUGAGGCGCGAAAAGCGUGGGGAGAAAACAGGAUUAGAUACCCUGGUA